GUCCCUGUAGCACAGUGGCCUAGUGCACCGGUCUCUCAAGUCGGCGACGAGGGUUCGACUCCCUCCAGGGACGCCA
Molecule: transfer RNA, 76 nt
Filed under: Deltaproteobacteria bacterium
Lineage: Bacteria; Pseudomonadati; Myxococcota; Myxococcia
Description: tRNA-Glu
Rfam family: tRNA
About the family: Transfer RNA (tRNA) molecules are approximately 80 nucleotides in length.
Source: RNAcentral